GCUGUAGUAAGCCGACGCCUUCUCCGACUCAGGCACACGGUCAGGUACUCCACCUGUGCAGGCAGCGGGGACUCUUGAGUUUCCAGGCACAGCAUGCAACCUUGGCUCCUCAGCAUCCAGCUUCCAGCCCCCAGAUGCACACUGAAGCCGCACACUGAGCUGCACGCUGAGCCGCACACUGGGGCCCCAGGGCACCGCACAAGUUAUGUGUUAUCCCCUAAUAAAUUACUUUAUGUUUACAUGAUUGAGCUAUCCCAUUUCUGUUCCUAAAAACCAUCAAAAGAAAUACGACAGUGGCACCAGUCAACAUUAUAUUUACUUAUUGCAAUCUGUUUAACAAUCAUAGUGGAAUAAAUCUAGAUUUCCUUAAUAUGUAAAUACUCAAAUUUUUCUUUUGUUUUCAGGAUAUUUUGAGAAUGUUUGUUUUAUAUGUAUUAGUUUUUUUUUUAAUGCUUAUUUGUUUGCUUUCCUGGGGUAUUAGUUGCCAGACACAGGAUCUUCGGUGUGUGUGUGGCCUGAGUAGUUGCCCCAAACCAGGGAUGGAAUCCAUGUCCACUGCAUUGCAAGGCAAAUUCUUAACCACUGGAUCACCAAGGAAGUCCCUAUAUCAGGGUUUUUAGAUGAGUUCAUAAGGAUCAAAGAUGAAAAUUGUCUCUCAACACCUUAUCUUGAAAUUUUACAUCUUUCCGUUCUCACACAUCUUUCCACCACAAAUUAAAUAAACCAUUCUAAUAAAGAUACUUAAAUGUCUUUCAUUUGCCUUAAUAUUUUAAACACAGGGAUCCUGGGGCAGGAGCAAGGAGCUACUCAGACCCCUGGUAGGCACUGAAGUAGCCCAGAGAUUGGGGCAUCCGGAGUGUGAUGUGAUGAGGGGCUGAGCCUAGUGGUGGAGUGAACGUGGACAGUUGAAAGGACCCUGCAACUAAAGACCAAAGUGCAGUUCCUUAGCUAGACCAAGAAGGAAAAUCAUCAGAGAGACAGAGACUUCAUGACUAAUCGCCUUUCCUCAUUUACUCACAACCCUUCCCUGAAAAGGGAAGAAGGAGAAGAAAAGGGAAGAAGGGGAACAGGAGAUAGUGCAAGAGGAAGAAAAUCAAAAAUAGUGUUUGACUCUCAGAAAAUUCUAGCAGCUUCAGAUCAUGGAAUUUUCCCCCCAAGUCUCAAGUCAACCCUUCCCUCUUCCCUCUUCUACCUGCCAAUGCAGGAAACUCAGGUUCAAUCCCUGGGUGGGGAAGAUCCCCUGGAGGAGGAAAUGGCAACCCAAUCCAAUAUUCUUGUCUGGAAAUCCAGACAAGAAGAGGCAGGCUGGCUACAGUCCAUAGGAUUGCAGACUUUACUUAGUGACUAA
Molecule: long non-coding RNA, 1348 nt
Filed under: Bos grunniens (domestic yak)
Lineage: Eukaryota; Metazoa; Chordata; Mammalia; Artiodactyla; Bovidae
Description: lncRNA (ENSBGRG00000015696.1)
Source: RNAcentral